Molecule: transfer RNA, 73 nt
Filed under: Dehalococcoidales bacterium
Lineage: Bacteria; Bacillati; Chloroflexota; Dehalococcoidia; Dehalococcoidales
Description: tRNA-Lys
Rfam family: tRNA
About the family: Transfer RNA (tRNA) molecules are approximately 80 nucleotides in length. Their secondary structure includes four short double-helical elements and three loops (D, anti-codon, and T loops).
Source: RNAcentral
GGGCCGUUAGCUCAGCUGGUAGAGCAGCAGACUUUUAAUCUGUUGGUCCCGGGUUCGAGUCCCGGACGGCUCA